This 49-nucleotide transfer RNA is filed under the name Heterosigma akashiwo. Its description in RNAcentral is "partial tRNA". Lineage: Eukaryota; Raphidophyceae; Chattonellales; Chattonellaceae. The record is from RNAcentral.
UAGCGGUAGAAUGCGAGCCUACCAACCGUGAGACACGGGUUCGAAUCUG